UGGGGAAUAUUGCACAAUGGACGGAAGUCUGAUGCAGCGACGCCGCGUGGGGGAUGAAGGCUUUCGGGUUGUAAACUCCUUUCAGUACAGAAGAAGCUUUAUUGUGACGGUAUGUGCAGAAGAAGCGCCGGCUAACUACGUGCCAGCAGCCGCGGUAAUACGUAGGGCGCGAGCGUUGUCCGGAAGUAUUGGGCGUAAAGAGCGCGUAGGCGGUUUGGCGCGUCUGCUGUGAAAGACCGGGGCUUAACUCCGGGGCUGCAGUGGGUACGGGCAGGAUGGAGUGCGGUAGGGGUAACCGGAAUUCCUGGUGUAGCGGUGGAAUGCGCAGAUAUCAGGAGGAACACCGAUGGCGAAGGCAGGUUACUGGGCCGUUACUGACGCUGAGGAGCGAAAGCAUGGGGAGCGAACAGG
This 411-nucleotide ribosomal RNA is filed under the name Verrucomicrobiota bacterium. Its description in RNAcentral is "Verrucomicrobia bacterium partial 16S ribosomal RNA". It matches the Rfam family "Bacterial small subunit ribosomal RNA", at positions 355 to 776 of the family's 1533-position model. Lineage: Bacteria; Pseudomonadati; Verrucomicrobiota. The record is from RNAcentral.